CAUGCAAGUCGAACGAUGACUUCUGUGCUUGCACAGAAUGAUUAGUGGCGAACGGGUGAGUAACACGUGAGUAACCUGCCCUUGACUUCGGGAUAAGCCUGGGAAACCGGGUCUAAUACCGGAUACGACCUCCUGGCGCAUGCCAUGGGGGUGGAAAGCUUUAUUGCGGUUUUGGAUGGACUCGCGGCCUAUCAGCUUGUUGGUUGGGGUAAUGGCCCACCAAGGCGACGACGGGUAGCCGGCCUGAGAGGGUGACCGGCCACACUGGGACUGAGACACGGCCCAGACUCCUACGGGAGGCAGCAGUGGGGAAUAUUGCACAAUGGGCGAAAGCCUGAUGCAGCGACGCCGCGUGAGGGAUGACGGCCUUCGGGUUGUAAACCUCUUUCAGCAGGGAAGAAGCGAAAGUGACGGUACCUGCAGAAGAAGCGCCGGCUAACUACGUGCCAGCAGCCGCGGUAAUACGUAGGGCGCAAGCGUUAUCCGGAAUUAUUGGGCGUAAAGAGCUCGUAGGCGGUUUGUCGCGUCUGCUGUGAAAGCCCGGGGCUCAACCCCGGGUCUGCAGUGGGUACGGGCAGACUAGAGUGAUGUAGGGGAGACUGGAAUUCCUGGUGUAGCGGUGAAAUGCGCAGAUAUCAGGAGGAACACCGAUGGCGAAGGCAGGUCUCUGGGCAUUAACUGACGCUGAGGAGCGAAAGCAUGGGGAGCGAACAGGAUUAGAUACCCUGGUAGUCCAUGCCGUAAACGUUGGGCACUAGGUGUGGGGGACAUUCCACGUUUUCCGCGCCGUAGCUAACGCAUUAAGUGCC
Molecule: ribosomal RNA, 809 nt
Filed under: Arthrobacter sp. 214B4_12EMRSA
Lineage: Bacteria; Bacillati; Actinomycetota; Actinomycetes; Micrococcales; Micrococcaceae
Description: bacterial SSU rRNA
Rfam family: Bacterial small subunit ribosomal RNA
Source: RNAcentral